This 916-nucleotide ribosomal RNA is filed under the name uncultured eukaryote. RNAcentral describes it as "bacterial SSU rRNA". It matches the Rfam family "Bacterial small subunit ribosomal RNA", at positions 509 to 1397 of the family's 1533-position model. The record is from RNAcentral.
CAGCAGCCGCGGUAAUWCAGGGGGGCAGCGUUAUUCAGAAUGAUUUGGUGUAAAGAAGUUUGUAGAUUGUGGCCUUAGGUUGUUAGUAAAAAACUAUGUUUAUUGCUUAGAAAUACUGAUAAGACUUUGUUGCUUGAGUAAAAUAGGGGUUAAUAGAAUUUUGUAUAUAGGGGUAAAAUCCAAUUAUUUACAAAGGAAUGCCAGUAGCGAAGGCGAUUUUCUGGGUUUUUUACUGACAUUGAGGAACGAAAGCGUAGGUAGCAAACGAGAUUUGAGACCUCGGUAGUCUACGCCGUCAAAUAUGAUUGUUAAUGGUAGGAGUCUUUUCUGUCAUAAAGUUAACACGUUAAACAAUCCACCUGGGGAGUAUUGUCGCAAGAUUGGAACUCAAAGAAAUUGACGGGGGUCUACACAAAUGGUGGAGUAUGUGAUUUAAUGCGAUACUACGCGCAAAAUCUUACCAGUUCUUGAAUAUAUGGAAUUGAACAUUUAAUCAUUUACAUUUUUUUAAGCAAUUAUUCUAAUUGCUUUAUAAUAACCAUAUACAGGUGUUGCAUGGCUGUCGUCAGCUCGUGCUGUGAAGUGUUAGGUUAAUUCCUUUAACGGGCGUAACUCUUACUUUAUUUUGGUAGUGUUUGAAUUAAUUUGAAACAACAACUUUUAGAGGAUAGCUAAUGAUAAAUUAGAGGAGGCUGAGAAUGACGUCAAGCCCUUAUGGCCUUUAUGAACUGGGCUAUACACGUGCAACAAUGUUAGUUACAAAAAGUUAUACCAAAAGGAAACUUUGAGUUAAUCUUUAAAAACUGUCGUGUUCGAAUUGAAGACUGUAACUCGUCUUCAUGAAGGUGGAAUCAUAAUUAAUCGUAAAUCAGCACGUUACGGUGAAUUUGUACUUAGAUCUGCACACACCGCCCGU